CGAAAUUUUGCAGCGAGUUGCACAGAAUUUCACAGAAAUUCGAUUGGGUCGAAGGCUUUUGUUUGAUUUGCGCACACUUUUGGAUGAUGGUCCGCUGACGUGAUGGACGAUACUGUCACUCCAACUACACAAGGAGGAAAGAAACGCUGGACAAACCUUGCAGCAUAACAUGACAAAGUUGGUGAACAUAGCGUGGUUUCGGUUCUCAAGUGCGACUAGCAGUGUCUUCCGGCAGUGUCUCAACGUAUUUCACUGGUAUAUGAGCAGUAGUGGGUUGACAUUUUGCUGGUUGCGCAGUAUUUGGGUGCUUCUUUUGAGCUUGGGUAAUGCAGUGAUAAUGUCAAUAUCGGCUCUACCGAGAGCCUGUAUGACCGGCAUACAAAAAUUUUGAAAUUUUUUUGUCGUCUGAAUAUUCUAACGAACUACCCCCAACUUAUCCGACUUUUUUUAGGAAGAAAAAGUGCGCAAAUUAUGCGAGUAAAUAGGGUAAUUGUGUUUUGUGACGGAAUGAGGGUGCUUGCUCUGAAUUUAGCGUCUAUUGCGAUCAAGUAUUUGUCAAUUCCUACGAACUUUGCAGAUGCUGAAAGAUCUUUCAGCAGGUACAAAAGGAUUGUAGACGACAGACGGCAUUCGCUGUCAGAGAACACAAGAUAUCAUGUAAUGCUGAGUUGUUCCCACAUUAUCCAAGAAAAUAGUGUUUCCUGCUUCAAGCAGCCAUUGACUCCUUGGCGCAGAAGAUCGCGGAAUUUACAAACAUGUUGCCAGCCCAUAGGUUUUUAUGGAGGAAUCUGUGUACACUUCCCCCAAAGCAAGGAACCACUGGAGCUCCCAACUUAACCUGCCUCAUUACACCAGAGGCUGGAAGUGCAUGCACACUUGGAUAGAACCACACUAGGGUUGCCAGAUGGCAAAAGCUAUACCUAACGAAUAUUGUACCCCACGUAACCAAAUGGAGCCAACUAUAAGCAAGGCUCUCUAGCCAAAAGUGUGCACAAGGACCAAGUUGUCAAGGAUAACGAUACGUAACUGCGAGAAAAAAUAGCAGUGAUACACAGACCGUACAACACGUCACCGGAAAAGUUGUGUUAUCCCG
This is a long non-coding RNA of Ornithodoros turicata, 1093 nucleotides long. RefSeq lists it as uncharacterized. NCBI's taxonomy places the organism in Eukaryota, Metazoa, Arthropoda, Arachnida, Ixodida, Argasidae. The transcript is spliced from 4 exons. The record is from RefSeq and is a predicted model, not a curated record.